AAUGACACGAUCACUCCCGUUGAGCCGAAACACACAGUGCCAUCGGGAAUAUCGUGUCGCUCC
RNAcentral lists this microRNA precursor (63 nucleotides) under Xenopus laevis (African clawed frog). Its description in RNAcentral is "microRNA xla-mir-425 precursor (xla-mir-425-2)". Its record names the gene xla-mir-425-2. The record is from miRBase by way of RNAcentral. Lineage: Eukaryota; Metazoa; Chordata; Amphibia; Anura; Pipidae.